Long non-coding RNA from Psammomys obesus (fat sand rat), 2020 nucleotides. RefSeq lists it as uncharacterized. The transcript is spliced from 3 exons. The record is from RefSeq and is a predicted model, not a curated record. Lineage: Eukaryota; Metazoa; Chordata; Mammalia; Rodentia; Muridae.
AUCGAUCAGAUACCAGCUCAGUUAAAAUUCUGUCUGUAUUCGCUCAUGGGUACUGCUUUAUCCACUGGGCGUUGGGCUUGCUUUCUAAUACCUGGAUUAAGAGAACACAAUGGGACAAGUUAUUAGCAAGCCACUUUGAUGAGCUAAGCCGGGAGGAAAGAAAGAAGUCUGGUCACCACAUGUGGGUCACUACGACGCUUCCGGCCACAGUCCUGCAAUCCGCCCUCCGAGAUGGCAGCUGCUGAUGUCUCUGUGUCCUGGGUUACAUACAUUCAGGAGCUACUUGCCAAGAGCUGGGCUGGAGUAAAAUUAUAGUGUCCUUUUACAGAUGAGGGUUUUGGAUGGAAAUACUGACAUAGCUUUUAACUGACACACAUUUUCCAAGUCUAAGCCAUACAAUAGUGCUUAACUCAGCACUAUUAAAAGCAAAUUCACACAAAGGACAUCUGACAUUAAUUAUACUGCAGGUUUAAAAUAUACACAUGUGGAGUAAGAAAUGUGUCUUUCCGUUCUUAUGCGCAUUAUUAAAAGUGAUGCUGUUUAAAGUGCUUUUAAGAAACUGGCUUCAACUCCUUGUUGUAACUUUAGACACAAUUCCAUAUGAAGCAUGAAGGUGGCAAAGACAAUGGUUUCCCGGGCAAGAAAAACAGAUGCACAUUGCCAACACGUUCUUAUAGCCAGUUAAAGAGCAAGGAAGGAAGAGAGAUGUUGUGAGUCCUUCAUGCAUAUUGAGAAAAUGAACUCCUUUUCGCUGUGUUCUGUAGCAAGGAUCCGCACCGACCUUCUGUGACCACCAGCAGCGGUUAAACCUACAGCUGGAAACACUUGAUAAGCAAUUUGCCCCACCCAGCUAUUCGCUUUUUCCCAGUGACUUUCCAUGUUGAUAAGGUAGGCUCAAAAAUGAGACCAAGUGUUUAAAAAAGAAGGGUGGGGAGCAAGAAGACAUCAGGUUGUUUGCUUCGAUUUUCUCUGGAUGUCUGCGGGCUCCUGACGCCAGCGUCUCAGCCUACCUGUGUGUGUGCGGUGCAAGCAAAACGCCUGUGGUAGCCAUAGUCACAGGAUGUGUCCUCCAGACAGAAGCUUGCUUUGUGGCCUUCAGCCACCCUCCUCUGUGUGUUGGCGUCAAGCAGGUCAUAGUGGCUGAAUUCAUCCAUGCUGUGGUAAUGUCUAAUGUUGCACACAAGAAAGACACAGCAAUCAGCGGUGCAGAGAAAUCAAGGAUGGUGAGUGACUUCCUUCCCUCGUAAAUUAAAUGGGGGUGCGCUCACAACUCAAACAGACCAACUUUAUCUUCUUGGUUUUUAAUUUUUUUAGAUUUAUUUAUUUUAUGCGUGUGAAUGUUUUAUCUACAAGUUGUAUGUGUUCUAUGCAUGUGCUUGGGACCAAAGGAAGUCAGAAGAGGGCUUUGAAUCCCUUAGAAAUGGAGAUAUGAACAGUUAUGAGGCGCCCAGUGGGUACUGGGAAUCGAACCCAGGUCCUCUGCAAGACUAUCAAGUGCUCCUAACACUGAGCCAUCUCUCCAGACCAUUUUUUUUUCUCUUGAAACAGUGUUUCCCUGUGUAGAUCUGGCUGUCCCAGAACUUACCUAUAGCCAUACUGGCUUGGAACUCAGAAAUCUGCCUGCCUUUGCCACCCAAGUGCUAGAACUAAAGGCAUGUGCCAUAAUGCUUAGCUCCCAAGUUUAUCUUGAAGAGAUAGUCAUGCUAGAUAUUUUUUUUAAGGACACUGCAAGUUUUCAACUUUACUACUUGUUAAAGAUAGGGUGUCCUUCAUACAGGGUUUUAUCUUUGAACAUCAAGCAUAGACAAUCCAUUAUCUGUGCUUGCAACCUGUGGAGUUUCUGGUGUGUUUCUCUGGCUUCCACUACUGAUGUUGGUGAUGUGAUGAUGAUUUCAAACAAGAACUUUUCUAUGGAGGGCUUGCUAUGAGAUUCUAAAAACUAGGGUUGCAGCAUUCUUUAAACCUCUUUGGAUCUGCAAGGGGAAAACAACAGCAUGUUUUCCUAACACUAUUGUUUAAA